GAAAUGCGAUAAUUAAUGUGAAUUGCAGAAUUCAGUGAAUCAUCGAGUCUUUGAACGCACAUUGCGCCCCCUGGUAUUCCGGGGGGCACGCCUGUCCGAGCGUCAUUGCUGCCCUCAAGCACGGCUUGUGUGUUGGGCUUCCGUCCCUGGCAACGGGGACGGGCCCAAAAGGCAGUGGCGGCACCAUGUCUGGUCCUCGAGCGUAUGGGGCUUUGUCACCCGCUCCCGUAGGUCCAGCUGGCAGCUAGCCUCGCAACCAAUCUUUUUAACCAGGUUGACCUCGGAUCAGGUAGGGAUACCCGCUGAACUUAAGC
Molecule: unclassified non-coding RNA, 314 nt
Filed under: plant metagenome
Description: partial contains 5.8S ribosomal RNA, internal transcribed spacer 2, and large subunit ribosomal RNA
Rfam family: 5.8S ribosomal RNA (bases 1-105)
Source: RNAcentral